RNAcentral lists this long non-coding RNA (1926 nucleotides) under Mytilus galloprovincialis (Mediterranean mussel). Lineage: Eukaryota; Metazoa; Mollusca; Bivalvia; Mytilida; Mytilidae. The record is from RNAcentral.
UAAUAGAUGUUUAUUUUAUUCCUUUACAGGCUGAACUAGAGUGGUGGCAUAUGAAUCAAUUGUGAAACAAAACUUAAUUUCAGAUUGAAAGGUACGCAUAAAGUGUUGAUUAUAUAAUGGUAACAUUUAGCUCAUUGAUAGGAAAAAUAUAUGGUAGUUAUUUUCUGAAAUAAACUAAAACAUAUGCAAAAGUGCAUAUUUGCAUACACUAUUUUAAGUACACUUAUAUCCAUUUGUAAAUAUGGGUAAUUAUUCUGCGGAAAUAAGAUAUGAUUGAGUUAUUUCACUUAUGGGUACUAUAUUUGAAUAUAACUUCGUUUGCCUGAAGCUUUACUGUCAAACAACAUGUGUGAAGUCUUUUCCCCAGAAAACGAAAAAUCACAAAAUUUGUUUUUGUAUGUAAUUCCUUUUUGCGAAAUGGUACUUGAUUGAAACAUGUACAUGUAUACUACAAAUGUUUUAGUCUUACUGAAAGGCGUACAGUUCUAUAAAAUGUAGUUAUUAAAUCCAAUUGCCGCACAUAUAAUACUUUGCAUUAAGAUUUUGAUGGAUAAUCGUGUUAAUAUGUGUUGGUCAAAUCAUCUCAUGUCUACGAGAACUAACAUUACUACUUUUGAACAAUUUGUGUACAAUCUAUAUAAACUUGUUACGCUUAUCUAAUACUACGAAAAUGACAAUAUCAUUGUAUAUCAUAUAUGUUUUAUUUUUUAUUUUAGGUCUCUCUGACUGAUUUCAACGCUGCAAAAUGGGGUUUAUAAAUCCAUUGAAGUAUACGAAAGACAUUUCAAAGAAUUGAAAUCGACUAAAUCAAUUUGAAAACAAAAAGAAAUGUAUUAAUGUGAUAAGAAUAGCACGUUAACAUGUUUAAUUAUAAUGCAGAUUAAUUGAAGUUGAGUGAAUUAUACAACCAUAAAGAAUGGGAAUAUGUAUCCACACACUUAAGUGGACAGUUAUUUUAAAUAUCAUGAAUAUUACGCCAAAAGAUAAUUCACUGGCUAGAAAAUCUGCUGAUAUACAGUACUUUCCGCGAGGAUUAUCCGAAAGAAAAUUCGAGGAUUUAACGAUGUACAAUUCCUUUCCGGAGGAUUAACGAGUCCGGUCAAGCAUAUGCAUUUCAAGUAUUUGAAAACCGAUAAGAUGGAUUGUUGUCAAGGACACAACAACUAAGAACGAAAAAGCAUGCUAGGAUUGUUUGUUGACUGUCCCUUUGGUAUCUGUCGUCCCUCUUGUAAGAACAUGUUAGUAGUAAUUCAAUUUUAUAAAACAAACAUUGUCAAAGAUAAAUACAUAAAGAUAAUCAAACAUAAGUAAAUAAACUCAUCAUAGAUACCAAGAUCAAAAUUUUAUAUUUACGCCAGACGCGCGUUUCGUCUAAAAAAAAGACUCAUCAAUGACGCUCGAAUAAAAAAAAAUGUUUAAAGGCCAAAUAGAGUACAAAGUUAAAGAGCAAAUUAGUUUAAAAAACAAAAACAAUACUUCUCUUUAUCAAUUUAACUUCUUGCGACCGAUAAUUUGAUUGUUUUAUUGAAUCACAAAAAUCGCAGAGGUCCAUGGCACGUCACGUCUAAAAUAUUGUUUUUCGAAUUCUCAAUCUGUAUAUUUUGCACUUUUCUACUAUAAGAUGCACAUUGUUAGGUAUCAUUGAAGAUUAAAUAUGUUAAAAAUUGUUAUUUUCCGUUGUUUUCCUUUAAGGCAUCAUGUACACAAACUUGUUGAGUAACCACAUUUAUCUUUAUACUCCUACAAUUCAAAAUAGUGAAUGUAUAGUUAUCCGAUUGCUGUACAACUUUCAGAUAAAUUCGAGCUAUACAUUUUCUUGUUAUUUAAUCUGUACAUACUUUUGAAUGUAUUUAACAUAAAUAACUAAUUUUGAAAUAGCGUAAACUAUGCAAUAGAUGUUCUUUUACUAAGAUAGUAAAUGAAAUA